UACGGAGGGUGCGAGCGUUGUCCGGAAUCACUGGGCGUAAAGGGCGCGUAGGCGGCAUGCCAAGCGUGUGGUGAAAGCCCGGGGCUCAACCCCGGGUCGGCCGUGCGGACUGGCGUGCUCGAGCACUGUAGGGGCGGGUGGAAUUCCGGGUGUAGCGGUGGAAUGCGUAGAGAUCCGGAGGAAGACCGGUGGCGAAGGCGGCCUGCUGGGCAGUUACUGACACUGAGGCGCGACAGCGUGGGGAGCAAACAGG
RNAcentral lists this ribosomal RNA (253 nucleotides) under uncultured bacterium. RNAcentral's name for it is "partial 16S ribosomal RNA". It matches the Rfam family "Bacterial small subunit ribosomal RNA", at positions 524 to 776 of the family's 1533-position model. The record is from RNAcentral.